This 700-nucleotide long non-coding RNA is filed under the name Pan troglodytes (chimpanzee). RNAcentral describes it as "lncRNA (ENSPTRG00000054077.1)". The record is from RNAcentral. Lineage: Eukaryota; Metazoa; Chordata; Mammalia; Primates; Hominidae.
CUUGACCUAAUAUCUGUCCUAUGGAAGUGGUCAUAAAUGCUGGCUAUUAUUACCAUUAUUAUUAAGAUGGAAUGAUGAUGACGAUGAUGAUGAUGAUGAUGACGAUGAUGAGAUGACAAUCAUUAUGAUGAAAGAGAAGGACCAAAGGAAAGAAAACAGGAAUGAGAGUGUUCCUAGUAAUGGAAAAGGAGAAUCUCAGCAUUCCACCAAGAAAAUCUCCAAAAAAGGAAAAGCAAAUGAGCAGGGCUGUUUCUGAGGAUAUGAAAUACUUUACAAUUAAAUAAGGAAGAAGAGGAAACAUUCCAGACAGAAGCAAUCUCUUACUGCAAGAGAAUAAGAAGUAAUAAGAAUUUUCAUCAUUUGAAAUGCAGCCAUGUGGCAAUUUUAUCCAUCCAGAACAACUGACAUACAGUAAAUACUUAACAUGUAGCAGAUUCUGCUGUGUUUUUUGAUGUCUUGUUAUAUUAAAUCUCUUCAACCACACUAUGAGGUAGGUGUGUCUUUCCUUCUCAUUCUGUGAAGUAAGGAAAUGGAGUCAUAGAGAAGUUACAUGUGCAGGCCUCAUAGCUAGUACAUGCUGGAAGUGCAUUCCGCCUCUGGGACCUGGAAUCUUUAUUCUUAACCAUUUCAGAACAUGACCUCUGUUCAGUUGGAAUAGAGUAGAGGAAUGAAUUGCAAGAAAGCGCAAACAUACUCUGAG